This 260-nucleotide long non-coding RNA is filed under the name Anas platyrhynchos platyrhynchos (common mallard). RNAcentral describes it as "lncRNA (ENSAPLG00000022930.1)". Lineage: Eukaryota; Metazoa; Chordata; Aves; Anseriformes; Anatidae. The record is from RNAcentral.
AAAAAUGCGAAGAGUGACAAGCAACAUACUGAAGCUUCUCUUCUUGAUGUCUUCAUCUCAGAAAUCACUGAAAGUCUGCGUGUGAACUGCCUGCUGGAAAGGCUCCUGAGAUGCUCCAGCUGCCAAACCAGGUCCAGAAAAUGAUCAGGGAAAGAAUUUGUUGGAAGUGACCAAAAUAAUGUCAGAAAAACAUCUAAUGCUUUACUAGCAUAAAUUAUCAUGCUCCAGUGCCAGAGAACCUGCUCAGGCAUGUUCAGUUU